Molecule: ribosomal RNA, 980 nt
Filed under: Bivesicula claviformis
Lineage: Eukaryota; Metazoa; Platyhelminthes; Trematoda; Azygiida
Description: SSU rRNA
Rfam family: Eukaryotic small subunit ribosomal RNA
Source: RNAcentral
UGGUGCCAGCAGCCGCGGUAACUCCAGCUCCAGAAGCGUAUAUUAAAGUUGUUGCAGUUAAAAAGCUCGUAGUUGGAUCUGGGUCGCAUGGCUACAUGUCGUGGCCUUUUUGUGAGUGGUUUGUUCUGCUCUCAUUUGGGUCGAUGUAGUGGCUGUGCAGCCUAUCAGUCGUGUCCGUGAAUACGGGUGCCGGCUGGGUUGGUGGGCUAGUCUCAUUGACCUGUCGGCAUGCUUCCAGAUGCCUUUAAACGGGUGUCGGGAGCGGACGACACGUUUACUUUGAACAAAUUUGAGUGCUCAAAGGAGGCCUGUGUGCCUGAAAAGUCUUGCAUGGAAUAAUAGAAUAGGACUUCGGUUCUAUUUUGUUGGUUUUCGGAUCCGAAGUAAUGGUUAAGAGGGACAGACGGGGGCAUUUGAAUGGCGGUGUUAGAGGUGAAAUUCUUGGAUCGCCGCCAGUCAAGCUACAGCGAAAGCAUUUGCCAAGAAUGUUUUCAUUGAUCAGGAGCGAAAGUCAGAGCUUCGAAGACGAUCAGAUACCGUCCUAGUUCUGACCAUAAACGAUGCCAACUGACGAUCCGUGGUGGUUCUGUUUUUGGCCCCGCGGGCAGUCUCCGGAAAACCCUUAAGUCUUUGGGCUCCGGGGGAAGUAUGGUUCCAAAGCUGAAACUUAAAGGAAUUGACGGAAGGGCACCACCAGGAGUGGAGCCUGCGGCUUAAUUCGACUCAACACGGGAAAACACACCCGGCCCGGACACUGUGAGGAUUGACAGAUUGAUAGCUCUUUCUUGAUUCGGUGGUUGGUGGUGCAUGGCCGUUCUUAGUUGGUGGAGCGAUUUGUCUGGUUAAUUCCGAUAACGAACGAGACUUUGGCCUGCUAAAUAGUAUGCCUGUCCUCUGUGCUCGUGCAGGGCGCGGCGUACACUGCCUCUUCGUGGGGUGGUGCUGUCGUUGUCCGGCGGGUGCGGCGGAGGUGUUUACUU